GACCAAGGAGUCUAGCAUGUGCGCGAGUCAUUGGGACUCUGAUAAACCUAAAGGCGCAAUGAAAGUAAAAGUCCGCCUCGCGCGGACCGAGGGAGGAUGGGACCGUUCUCGAACGGACCCCGCACUCCCGGGGCGUCUCGUUCUCAUCGCGAGAAGAGGCGCACCCAGAGCGUACACGCUGGGACCCGAAAGAUGGUGAACUAUGCCUGGUCAGGACGAAGUCAGGGGAAACCCUGAUGGAGGUCCGUAGCGAUUCUGACGUGCAAAUCGAUCGUCGGAACUGGGUAUAGGGGCGAAAGACUAAUCGAAC
Molecule: ribosomal RNA, 310 nt
Filed under: Serrophorus seniculus
Lineage: Eukaryota; Metazoa; Arthropoda; Insecta; Coleoptera; Scarabaeidae
Description: eukaryotic LSU rRNA
Rfam family: Eukaryotic large subunit ribosomal RNA
Source: RNAcentral